Monopterus albus (swamp eel) is the source of this 343-nucleotide long non-coding RNA. RefSeq lists it as uncharacterized. Lineage: Eukaryota; Metazoa; Chordata; Actinopteri; Synbranchiformes; Synbranchidae. The transcript is spliced from 4 exons. The record is from RefSeq and is a predicted model, not a curated record.
CUUUUUUCUUGUUCUUAGGAAUCAAUUGUUGAUUUAAUAAAUGGACGUCAUGGGGGCUCCUUCCUGGAUGUCUUGGGUUUAGAUUUCUUCAGGAGCUUGAGUGCAAACCUGCACAGUGACAUCAUAUAUUCAGAUGAUGAUGAUGAUGAUGAUUUUUAUCCACUCAGUACUGCUCAUAGGCCUUUACAACCACAUCCACGAAUAAGACAACUUACUGAUGAGGAGGCUGAGAAACAUGCAAAAGAACUUAUAGCAGAGGAGGAACGACGUAAGGAGAAAACUGAGAGGAACAAGCGUAAAAAAUUGCGUAAAAAAGAAAAGAAACGAUUAGAAAAGGAGAAUG